This 406-nucleotide ribosomal RNA is filed under the name uncultured bacterium. RNAcentral describes it as "partial 16S ribosomal RNA". It matches the Rfam family "Bacterial small subunit ribosomal RNA", at positions 30 to 526 of the family's 1533-position model. The record is from RNAcentral.
AUUGAACGCUGGCGGCAGGCCUAACACAUGCAAGUCGAACGAGUGGCGGACGGGUGAGUAAUGUCUGGGAAACUGCCUGAUGGAGGGGGAUAACUACUGGAAACGGUAGCUAAUACCGCAUACCAUCAGAUGUGCCCAGAUGGGAUUAGCUAGUUGGUGGGGUAACGGCUCACCAAGGCGACGAUCCCUAGCGGGUCUGAGGGGAUGAACAGCCACACUGUAACUGAGACACGGUCCAGAUUCCUACGGGAGGCAGGAGUGUGGAAUAUUGCACAAUGGGCGAAAUCUUGAUUCAGCCAUGCCGCGUGUAUGAAGAAGGCCUUCGGGUUGUAAAGUACUUUCAGCGGGGAGGCGUUACCCGCAGAAGAAGCACCGGCUAACUCCGUGCCAGCAGCCGCGGUAAUUC